AUGACAGAACUAGAUGCAGGUGUUGGCUGGAGCCGGAGUGACAGGGGUCCCUCCGGGCCGGAGGUGGCAGUAGUGGCAGUGGUGGCAGUGGUGGCAGUGGCCGCGACAUCGCCGCGAAAGCGAGACGGCGAUGGCCGCCCAGAAACAAGUGGCCGAGCCUCGAACUGCGGCCUGGGGAAAAAGAAGCCUGACAGCCCCGCCGUGACCCGGUGCCCUUGGCCCAUUCCGGGCCCUGUAGCGCCGGACUCCGCCUGCUGUCGCCCCCGCUUAGCGGCGCGGCGUCGGGGCUCAGCAGCGAGCAGCAGCCGCUCCAAGGCCCAAUUCAUUGUCAGAGGAAAACACAAACUGGUGCGGAAGAUCGGGUCUGGCUCUUUCGGGGACAUUUUCCUGGCGAUUAACAUCACCAACGGCGAGGAAGUGGCAGUGAAGCUAGAAUCUCAGAAGGCCAGGCAUCCCCAGUUGCUGUACGAGAGCAAACUCUGUAAGAUCCUUCAAGGUGGGGUUGGCAUCCCCACAUACUGUGGUACGGUCCGGAAAAAGACUAUAACGUGCUAGUCAUGGGUCUUCUGGGACCCAGCCUUGAAGAUCUCUUCCACUUCUGUUCAAGAAGGUUCGCAAUGAAAACUGUGCUUAUGCCAGCUGACCAGAUAGACGAUCAGUAGAAUUGAAUAUGUGCAUACGAAGAAUUUCAUACACAGAGACAUUAAGCCAGAUAACUUCCUAAUGGGUAUUGGGCGUCACUGUAAUGAGUUAUUCCUUAUUGAUUUUGGUUUGGCCAAAAAAGUACAGAGACAACAGGACAAGGCAACACAUACCAUACAGAGAAGAUAAAAACCUCACUGGCACUGCGCGGGACGCUAGCAUCAAUGCACACCUUGGUACUGAGCAGAGUCGCAGAGACGACAUGGAAUCAUUAGGGUAUGUUUUGAUGUAUUUUAAUAGAACCAGCCUGCCAUGGCAAGGACUAAAGGCUGCAACGAAGAGACAAAAAUAUGAAAAGAUUAGUGAAAAGAAGAUGUCCGCUCCUAUUGAAGUUUUAUGUAAAGGGUUUCCUGCAGAUUUGGCCAUGUACUUAAGCUAUUGUGGGCUACGCUGUGAGGAAGCCCCGGAUUACAUGUAUCUGAGGCAGCUAUUCCGCAUCCUUUUCAGGACCCUGAACCACCAAUAUGACUACACAUUUGAUUGGACGAUGUUAAAGCAGAAAGCAGUACAACAGGCAGCCUCUUCCACUGGGCAGGGUCAACAGGCCCAAACCCCCACAGGUUUCUAAGCAUGAAUUGAGGAACAGAAGAAGCAGAGCAGAUGAUCGGAGCAGCAUUUGUUUCUCCCCAAGUCUAGAAAUUUUAGUUCAUAUGUACACUAGCCAGUGGUUGUGGACAACCAUUUACUUGGUGUGAAGAACUUGAUUUCAGUAUAAACUGGCUCUGGACAGCAUUGGUGAUGCUGUAUCCUGAGUUGUAGCCGCUGUAAUUGUGAAUAUUAACUGAGAUAGUGAAACAUGGUGUCCUGUUUUCUAUUGCAUUUUUUUCAAGUGGAAAAGUUAACUAAAUGGUUGACACACGCAAAUUGGUGGAGAAAUUGUGCAUAUGCCAAUCUUUUGUUAAAGCCUUUUAUUUUGAACUAUACUGCUUUUGAGAUCUCAUUUCAGAAGAACGGCAUGAACAGUCUUCAGCCUCAGUUGUGAUGGUUGUAAAUGCUCACAAUUUUGCAUCCUUAGGGUUUUUCCAUCCCUAGGGUUUGCAAGUUGUUCACUUAAAACAUUCUUUAAAUGGCUGGCUUCUUGUUUGCAAGCCAGCUGAUAUGGUAGCAACCAAAGAUUCCAGUGUUUGAGCAUAUGAAAGACUCUGCCUGCUUACCUGUGCUAGAAAUAACAGCAUCUAAAGUGAAGACUUAAGAAAAACUUAGUGACUACUAGAUUAUUCUUAGGACUCUGCAUUAACUCUAUAAUGUUCUUGGUAUUAAAAAAAAAUAUU
This is a non-coding RNA of Castor canadensis (American beaver), 1973 nucleotides long. NCBI's taxonomy places the organism in Eukaryota, Metazoa, Chordata, Mammalia, Rodentia, Castoridae. The record is from RefSeq and is a predicted model, not a curated record.